UACGGGGGGGGCAAGCGUUGUUCGGAAUUACUGGGCGUAAAGGGCUCGUAGGCGGCCAACUAAGUCGGAUGUGAAAUCCCCAGGCUCAACUUGGGAACUGCAUCCGAUACUGGAUGGCUUGAAUUCGGGAGAGGGAUGCAGAAUUCCAGGUGUAGCGGUGAAAUGCGUAGAUAUCUGGAGGAACACCGAUGGCGAAGGCAGCCCCCUGGGCUAACACUGACGCUCAGGCACGAAAGCGUGGGGAGCAAACAGG
Molecule: ribosomal RNA, 253 nt
Filed under: uncultured bacterium
Lineage: Bacteria
Description: partial 16S ribosomal RNA
Rfam family: Bacterial small subunit ribosomal RNA
Source: RNAcentral